RNAcentral lists this ribosomal RNA (268 nucleotides) under uncultured Eubacteriales bacterium. RNAcentral's name for it is "uncultured Clostridiales bacterium partial 16S ribosomal RNA". It matches the Rfam family "Bacterial small subunit ribosomal RNA", at positions 59 to 339 of the family's 1533-position model. Lineage: Bacteria; Bacillati; Bacillota; Clostridia; Eubacteriales. The record is from RNAcentral.
UGAAGCCUAGCGAUUGUAAAUUUAGUGGCGGACGGGUGAGUAACGCGUGGGUAACCUGCCUCACACUGGGGGAUAACAGUCAGAAAUGGCUGCUAAUACCGCAUAAGCGCACAGAGCUGCAUGGCUCGGUGUGAAAAACUCCGGUGGUAUGAGAUGGACCCGCGUCUGAUUAGCUGGUUGGUGAGGUAACGGCCCACCAAGGCGACGAUCAGUAGCCGACCUGAGAGGGUGACCGGCCACAUUGGAACUGAGACACGGUCCAAACUCC